GGAACUAACAAGGAAUCCCCUAGUAGCGGCGAGCGAAGCGGGAAGAGCUCAAAUUUAUAAUCUGGCACCUUCGGUGUCCGAGUUGUAAUCUCUAGAAAUGUUUUCCGCGUUGGACCGCACACAAGUCUGUUGGAAUACAGCGGCAUAGUGGUGAGACCCCCGUAUAUGGUGCGGACGCCCAGCGCUUUGUGAUACAUUUUCGAAGAGUCGAGUUGUUUGGGAAUGCAGCUCAAAUUGGGUGGUAAAUUCCAUCUAAAGCUAAAUAUUGGCGAGAGACCGAUAGCGAACAAGUACCGUGAGGGAAAGAUGAAAAGCACUUUGGAAAGAGAGUUAACAGUACGUGAAAUUGUUGGAAGGGAAACGCUUGAAGUCAGACUUGCUUGCCGAGCAAUCGGUUUGCAGGCCAGCAUCAGUUUUCCGGGAUGGAUAAUGGUAGAGAGAAGGUAGCAGUUUCGGCUGUGUUAUAGCUCUCUGCUGGAUACAUCUUGGGGGACUGAGGAACGCAGUGUGCCUUUUGGCGGGGGUUUCGACCUCUUCACACUUAGGAUGCUGGUGGAAUGGCUUUAAACGACCCGG
Molecule: ribosomal RNA, 576 nt
Filed under: Rhodotorula mucilaginosa
Lineage: Eukaryota; Fungi; Basidiomycota; Microbotryomycetes; Sporidiobolales; Sporidiobolaceae
Description: eukaryotic LSU rRNA
Rfam family: Eukaryotic large subunit ribosomal RNA
Source: RNAcentral